Molecule: transfer RNA, 69 nt
Filed under: Oliarces clara
Lineage: Eukaryota; Metazoa; Arthropoda; Insecta; Neuroptera; Ithonidae
Description: tRNA-Leu
Source: RNAcentral
UCUAAUAUGGCAGAAUAGUGCAACAACUUUAAGCGUUGUAUAUAAAGUAAAAUAAUACUUUUAUUAGAA